UUCCCCUCCCAGCGUUAUUCCAAGAUGUGUGUUUAAUUGAACAACUGUUUUUGCAUUUUUUUUUCAUCUUACCAAUUUCCACAAUCAUUAUCAUAAUCACAUAACCUCCCUUUGGGUAUACAUUUCUUGUUUUUUAAACAAUUAUAAGAUCUUUUAGAGCAACAUUUGUUAAAGCAGCCAUGAUAUUCAAUUGCGUUACCAGUACAAAAUUCACCUCUACCCUUCUGGGAUAUUGCGUGUUUACGAAAUCGGUUCUUUAUGCCACCAUAAUCACAGCUUUUACUACAGGACCCAAACUCACCGAAAGGUGUCCAUUUGCAAUGUCGAUCCCAACAUUGCUUGCCAAAAUAAUGGUCUUUGCAAUUACACUGUCCAUCGAUAUCAUUGCAUUCUGUUGAUGUAGAUCCCGCUGGGUUACAGUUGCAUUCUAGACAAUAGGAAGACCCACUGUGACACGAAAUAAUUGAAUCUCCUAUCCUAUAAUGAUUCUUCUUGCAUGUAUUUUUAAAAGCUUUGUUUUAGGAAAUAAGUAAAAUCCACCUGAACAAUUCAAAUUGACGGAGUUGUUCACAACUAUAUCACAUGUAUUGUUCUUAAAAAAUGUUUGUUGGUUCGCUAUUGUUAAUAAAUAUCGAGAAGUGACAGCAUUUGAUGAUUGUUUUAAAAUGUCUUUCGCUUGGGCCCAUAGUAUAAAC
This 695-nucleotide long non-coding RNA is filed under the name Mytilus galloprovincialis (Mediterranean mussel). Lineage: Eukaryota; Metazoa; Mollusca; Bivalvia; Mytilida; Mytilidae. The record is from RNAcentral.